CUACGGGGGGCAGCAGGGAAUAUUGGUCAAUGGACGCAAGUCUGAACCAGCCAUGCCGCGUGCAGGAUGACGGCCCUCUGGGUUGUAAACUGCUUUUAUAUGGGAAGAAACCCCGGGAUGCGUUCCGGGCUGACGGUACCAUACGAAUAAGGAUCGGCUAACUUCGUGCCAGCAGCCGCGGUAAGACGAAGGAUCCAAGCGUUGUCCGGAUUUACUGGGUUUAAAGGGUGCGUAGGCGGAUGCUUAAGCCAGUGGUGAAAUCUCUCAGCUCAACUGAGAAACUGCCAUUGGAACUGGGCAUCUUGAAUUCGAUUGAGGUAGAUGGAAUAUAACAUGUAGCGGUGAAAUGCUUAGAUAUGUUAUGGAACACCGAUUGCGAAGGCAGUCUACUAAGUCGAUAUUGACGCUGAGGCACGAAAGCGUGGGUAGCGAACAGGAUUAGAUACCCUCGUAGUC
RNAcentral lists this ribosomal RNA (456 nucleotides) under uncultured bacterium. RNAcentral's name for it is "partial 16S ribosomal RNA". It matches the Rfam family "Bacterial small subunit ribosomal RNA", at positions 339 to 795 of the family's 1533-position model. The record is from RNAcentral.